This is a long non-coding RNA of Heterocephalus glaber (naked mole-rat), 1569 nucleotides long. The record is from Ensembl. NCBI's taxonomy places the organism in Eukaryota, Metazoa, Chordata, Mammalia, Rodentia, Bathyergidae.
GGACAAGGAGGGUGUUUGAAGUUGGGGAACUGCAGGAGCAAAGACCGCAGGCAGGAAUUCUGGGUCUAGUGACCACCUGGCUUGGUUCCUGAAGAGCUGGGCACUCAGGGGACCUGAUGUGCUACUUGAGCAUGGCAGGGCGGCCUCCAGCCCCUAAGCUUCUCCCUCGUCCGCCACGCAGAGGCAGAGGCCAGGGGUCAUCCCAGGGAGAGCCAGAGGCCGCCUGCGGGCCACCAGCCAAGAGGAACAGCUGUUUUCAAUGAGUCGCUUGGCCCUGAGGCCAAGACUGGAAAAGUCCGAGUCAGCAGAAGCUGCCAGCCCCGUCUUGCUAAGGGGCCAACCCGGGGGACCCAGCAGCCCACCCUGCACUGCCCCACAGGAGCCUGUCCACCCCUCCGUUCCAGCCAGACGCCCAUGGACUCAAGGCCGGGCGGAACGCAGCCCCAGCUCCCCGGCUCAGCUCUGCCUCGUCCUGUGUGCACAGAGUUUCCAGCUCCGGCAGGAGGGCUUCCUCCACCAUUCAUCUCCAAAUGCUCUUCUCUCUGCUCAGAAUGCUUGUAGAUAUUGGUAUAGCAAACUGGCAGGGAAUGGGCGGAGGUGGGACAGUCACCUCCACCUACUAAACCAAGAGGAGGGGAGCGAGGUGCAGGGGAGGCGGGAGGGAGGAACCUGGGUAAAUGGCGACUCCUCCCACUCCUCUGUGAUCUCAUCCCCUGCUGGCUUUUGUCUUCCUGUAUUAAAACAUCACAAUCAUUCUCGGCCUGUCCUUUCCCAGGGCCCAUCUUGCACGACGCCACCCAGCGCUGGUUGAGAAAACCAGCGGCAGCAACCCCCGCAUGCUGCGGCGGGGCUCGGGGCCUCCCCUUCCCCGCAGGUGCAGCCCAGGCCCGCACGCCCUCGGCCAAGCUCCGCACACCGGGUCUUCGUGGGCACCGCCCCAGAGCCGUCCCAGCCCCCAGCCCGAAGCCAAAAUAGCCUCAGAACCACUUCCUUCCCCGUGGGGGGAAUUGCACAAGAGGGCCGGCUCCGGGGCGGCAGGACGUGGCUUUCUGGGCUGGCACAACCCAACCCCAUUGAUCCGGCCGCGAAGGGUGCGAUUCAGGACUCCGACCUCAGAGCUAGCGGAGGAUAGCGGUCCUCCCAGGACAACCGCCACUCCUCACUGAGGCCCAUCCCUGAGGCUUCUGCCGAGCUACACAUUUCAUGUCUGUGGAACAGAGUUGUGAGCAUCUUACUUGAUAAACACCGCCAGGAGAGCUAUGCGGGGACCCAUCCCCAGAGCCCCGCUUGGGUCCCCACACACCGUCCAGUUUCAUUCAAGUUGGCUAACUGUAGCUCUGCAGAUGUUCAGCUGUGCUGCAGAAAGCCCAGAGAGAGGAAGAAAACGAGCCAAGCAGAAAAAGUUCGGUGGACUGAGUGAGUGGCCAUGGGAGAUGGGAACUCAGUCUGACCAAGUCUAAGCCGAAGUGCUUUACAGACCUUACCAAAAGGCCAAGGGCGUGGAGAAAGAGAGACAGUUAAAAAAAUACUUCUCAAAUAAAAUGUUUAAAUGAAUAAAAAAGUGGAAAG